GACGUAGGGCGCGAGCGUUGUCCGGAUUUAUUGGGCGUAAAGAGCCUCGUAGGCGGCUUGUCGCGUCGACUGUGAAAUCCCGCGGCUCAACUGCGGGUCUGCAGUCGAUACGGGCAGGCUAGAGUUCGGUAGGGGAGACUGGAAUUCCUGGUGUAGCGGUGAAAUGCGCAGAUAUCAGGAGGAACACCGAUGGCGAAGGCAGGUCUCUGGGCCGAUACUGACGCUGAGGAGCGAAAGCGUGGGGAGCGAACAGG
Molecule: ribosomal RNA, 254 nt
Filed under: uncultured bacterium
Lineage: Bacteria
Description: partial 16S ribosomal RNA
Rfam family: Bacterial small subunit ribosomal RNA
Source: RNAcentral